RNAcentral lists this transfer RNA (73 nucleotides) under Plantactinospora alkalitolerans. Its description in RNAcentral is "Plantactinospora sp. S1510 tRNA-Leu". It matches the Rfam family "tRNA". From Rfam's summary of the family: Transfer RNA (tRNA) molecules are approximately 80 nucleotides in length. Lineage: Bacteria; Bacillati; Actinomycetota; Actinomycetes; Micromonosporales; Micromonosporaceae. The record is from RNAcentral.
GCCCGGGUAGCCCAACGGUAGAGGCGCGGCGCUCAGACCGUCGUUGUUGGAGGUUCGACUCCUCUCCCGGGCA